This 400-nucleotide ribosomal RNA is filed under the name uncultured bacterium. RNAcentral describes it as "bacterial SSU rRNA". It matches the Rfam family "Bacterial small subunit ribosomal RNA", at positions 355 to 769 of the family's 1533-position model. The record is from RNAcentral.
UGGGGGAUAUUGGACAAUGGGGGGAACCCUGAUCCAGCGACGCCGCGUGAGUGAAGAAGUAUCUCGGUAUGUAAAGCUCUAUCAGCAGGGAAGAAAGAAAUGACGGUACCUGAGUAAGAAGCCCCGGCUAACUACGUGCCAGCAGCCGCGGUAAUACGUAGGGGGCAAGCGUUAUCCGGAAUUACUGGGUGUAAAGGGAGCGUAGACGGUGAAGUAAGUCUGGAGUGAAAGGCGGGGGCCCAACCCCCGGACUGCUCUGGAAACUAUUUGACUGGAGUGCAGGAGAGGUAAGCGGAAUUCCUAGUGUAGCGGUGAAAUGCGUAGAUAUUAGGAGGAACACCAGUGGCGAAGGCGGCUUACUGGACUGUAACUGACGUUGAGGCUCGAAAGCGUGGGGAGC